This 270-nucleotide ribosomal RNA is filed under the name uncultured prokaryote. Its description in RNAcentral is "partial 16S ribosomal RNA". It matches the Rfam family "Bacterial small subunit ribosomal RNA", at positions 524 to 794 of the family's 1533-position model. The record is from RNAcentral.
UACGUAGGUGCGAGCGUUGUCCGGAAUUACUGGGUGUAAAGGGAGCGUAGGCGGGUCGGCAAGUCAGUGGUGAAAUACAUGGGCUUAACCCAUGAAUUGCCAUUGAAACUGCCGGUCUUGAGUGGAUCAGAGGCAAGCGGAAUUCCGAGUGUAGCGGUGAAAUGCGUAGAUAUUCGGAGGAACACCAGUGGCGAAGGCGGCUUGCUGGGGUCUAACUGACGCUGAGGCUCGAAAGUGUGGGGAGCAAACAGGAUUAGAUACCCCCGUAGU